CUCUUCUCCCUUCUCGUCUUUCCAAGAGGCAAGAGCAGAGCACUAGUCGAGCAGAGUAGCGCGCCCGCGAGCGCGAGCCCUGCUUGCUUUGCCUUCGCCUUGCCGUCUGCAGUAUGUGUGUGUCUGUCUGUCACUCCCCGCCCGCAUCAAUCAUUUGUUAGAAAGGAAGUGUAGUAGUAGCAGAAAGAAAGAAAGAAAAGUGGCGAUCCGGAGGAGGAGCAGAGGCAGAGGCGGAGCAUCAGUGUCGUGUUCCCCAAAAGCUCGCAGCACAGCACUGUUCCUGUUCCAGCCCUCUGCUGGCUGAUUAUCAUAGUACCGUGCCAUCAUCAGCAUCCUAAACCAAAAGCACCACCACCUUAUCAUGAUGCCACUGCUGGCAGACAGGAGAGAGAGAGAGGGAGAGGGAAAACAACACCGACUUUCUAUUGCAGAAUAAUAAUAAGCAUAAUAAUAAUAAUAAUAAUAAUAACAACAACAAAACAAGCUAGCUAGACAUGGUAAAAAGAAAAACCAUUUGCUAACAGUAACAGCAAAGCAAGCACAUAGGGGGACUGAAGCAGGAACCUGGUGGUGGGCAUGGCAGGUACGGG
Molecule: long non-coding RNA, 590 nt
Filed under: Zea mays
Lineage: Eukaryota; Viridiplantae; Streptophyta; Magnoliopsida; Poales; Poaceae
Description: long non-coding RNA (ZMAY_LNC000041)
Source: RNAcentral